RNAcentral lists this unclassified non-coding RNA (214 nucleotides) under uncultured fungus. RNAcentral describes it as "sequence contains ITS1". Lineage: Eukaryota; Fungi. The record is from RNAcentral.
GUAUAUAUAUUUUCUUUCUUUUAUCCAUUCAAAAAUGAGUGUUAUAAAUAAAAAGGAAAAGCCGAACUAAAUAAAAGCACAGCAGUCCCAAUAUAAUGCACAAGUUGGAGAAAUAAUUAAAAAUGUAGCAAGUGUGCACAUUGCCUCUAGAGGCCAGCAACAACCUGUUCAAAUUUAUUCAAUAAUGAUCCUUCCGCAGGUUCACCUACGGAAA